AGCAGCCGCGGUAAUUCCAGCUCCAAUAGCGUAUAUUAAAGUUGUUGCAGUUAAAAAGCUCGUAGUUGAAUUUCGGGGUUAGUAGGUUGGUCAUGCCUCUGGUAUGUACUGGUCUCACUGAUUCCUCCUUCCUGAUGAACCUUAAUGCCAUUUAUUUGGUGUUUUGGGGAAUUUGGACUGUUACUUUGAAAAAAUUAGAGUGUUUAAAGUAAGCUAACGCUUGAAUACAUUAGCAUGGAAUAAUGAAAUAGGACGUUCGAUCCUAUUUUGUUGGUUUCUAGGAUUGACGUAAUGAUUAAUAGGGAUAGUUGGGGGCAUUAGUAUUCAAUUGUCAGAGGUGAAAUUCUUGGAUUUAUUGAAGACUAACUACUGCGAAAGCAUUUGCCAAGGAUGUUUUCAUUAAUCAAGAACGAAAGUUAGGGGAUCGAAGACGAUCAGAUACCGUCGUAGUCUUAACCAUAAACUAUGCCGACUAGGGAUCGGAUGAUGUUAAUUUUUUAAUGUACUCAUUCGGCGCCUU
This 520-nucleotide ribosomal RNA is filed under the name uncultured Glomus. Its description in RNAcentral is "SSU rRNA". It matches the Rfam family "Eukaryotic small subunit ribosomal RNA", at positions 569 to 1089 of the family's 1831-position model. Lineage: Eukaryota; Fungi; Glomeromycota; Glomeromycetes; Glomerales; Glomeraceae. The record is from RNAcentral.